This 644-nucleotide unclassified non-coding RNA is filed under the name uncultured delta proteobacterium. RNAcentral's name for it is "partial contains 16S ribosomal RNA, 16S-23S ribosomal RNA intergenic spacer, and 23S ribosomal RNA". The stretch from base 532 to 644 matches the Rfam family "Bacterial large subunit ribosomal RNA", at positions 1 to 113 of the family's 2925-position model. Lineage: Bacteria; Deltaproteobacteria. The record is from RNAcentral.
UCUAAGGAGAACCCGAAUCCGCGUCCGAGUAAAUCGGACUACGCUGGCUAGACCAGCACCGGAUUCUAACUCCUAUGGUCGGUACAUUAGGCAUGUUACGUCACACUGUUUAGUUUUCAGGGAUCAGCUAAGAUCCUUGAUAGGCAAGUGCCGUGGGCUUGUAGCUCAGGUGGUUAGAGCGUACGCCUGAUAAGCGUAAGGUCGCUAGUUCGAGUCUAGCCAGGCCCACCAUUAUUCAAGCCCGUGGGGGUGUAGCUCAGCUGGGAGAGCACCUGCUUUGCAAGCAGGGGGUCGUCGGUUCGAAUCCGAUCAUCUCCACCAAAGAGUUACUCGUUGAGAACAUCGCUCGACAGAGCGGUGUUUCUUAAACAGAUGGCAAGUACCCGGCUCGGGGAACGCCUCGGCACCUUGAAAAUUGCACAGUGGAUUUUUCCGAAAGUCAAGGUAACACUUGAAAACUGCAAGUGACGUACCCUUCGGGGUGCGGCACAGGUAGGAGAAAAGAGUUGCCUAGGAUUCUGGCGGAAAGACGGUUAAGCUACAAAGGGCACAUGGUGGAUGCCUUGGCGCCAAGAGCCGAUGAAGGACGCGGUUAACUGCGAUAAGCUUCGGGGAGCCGUAAGCGGGCUUUGAUCCGGAGAUGU